Molecule: ribosomal RNA, 252 nt
Filed under: uncultured bacterium
Lineage: Bacteria
Description: partial 16S ribosomal RNA
Rfam family: Bacterial small subunit ribosomal RNA
Source: RNAcentral
UACGUAGGCAGCGAGCGUUGUUCGGAAUUACUGGGCGUAAAGAGUGUGUAGGCGGUGCUCUAAGUUCGGUGUGAAAUCUCCCGGCUUAACUGGGAGGUGCGCCGGAAACUGGAGUGCUCGAACGUGGGAGAGGAAAGCGGAAUUCCUGGUGUAGCGGUGAAAUGCGUAGAUAUCAGGAGGAACACCUGCGGUGUAGACGGCUUUCUGGACCAUUGUUGACGCUGAGACACGAAAGCGUGGGUAGCAAACAGG